RNAcentral lists this unclassified non-coding RNA (433 nucleotides) under soil metagenome. RNAcentral describes it as "partial contains 5.8S ribosomal RNA, internal transcribed spacer 2, and large subunit ribosomal RNA". The stretch from base 1 to 120 matches the Rfam family "5.8S ribosomal RNA", at positions 35 to 154 of the family's 154-position model. The record is from RNAcentral.
GAUGAAGAACGUAGCGAAAUGCGAUACGGAAUGUGAAUUGCAGAAUUCAGUGAAUCAUCGAAUCUUUGAACGCAUAUUGCGCUCUCUGGUAUUCCGGAGAGCAUGCUUGUUUGAGUAUCAGUAAACACCUCAACUUCCAUAUCUUUUUUUGAAAUGGGAGUUGGACUUGAGUGAUCCCAACGCUUUUCCUCACCGAAAAGUGGCGGGUUACUUGAAAUGCAGGUGCAGCUGGACUUUUCUCUGAGCUAUAAGCAUAUCUAUUUAGUCUGCCUAAAAAACAGAUUAUUACCUUUGCUGCAGCUAACAUAAAGGAGAUUAGUUCUUGUGCUGACUGAUGCAGGAUUCACAAAGACAGCUUCGGCCGACUUUGUAAACUCGAUCUCAAAUCAAGUAAGACUACCCGCUGAACUUAAGCAUAUCAAUAAGCGGAGGA